Non-coding RNA from Arabidopsis thaliana (thale cress), 536 nucleotides. Lineage: Eukaryota; Viridiplantae; Streptophyta; Magnoliopsida; Brassicales; Brassicaceae. The record is from RefSeq.
CUCCAAUGCUUAUUUCUUUGUUCUGGAGAUAAGUUAUGUCUCGCUGCCUCAUAUUUUUAGCAGGAACAAGAAGCAUCCAUUUCUAAAAAAUUGUGAUCCAGUCUGUCCAUUUUACAAGAAUCUCCAUACUGAUAUCUUGUGCAUUGCUGAUCUGAAGAAACAUGUCGAAGACUUGUGAGGCCUUUGGUACAGAGCUGAACCAUCUGGAACUUUGGCAAUUGUCAUGCUAGCAACUGUAUGCAAAUAUAAGAGAUGGAUUUAUACACAAGGCGGUCCUGAUCGGAUUUUGCAAAAGGAUGAGGUGUUGAAGUUAUGAGAUUGGUUUGGGAGCCGAGAGUUGCAAGUCUUCAGUAAAGCCUGAGAUAUUCGCUUAAUGGUCCAGUUUCUUAAGUUUUGGAGGUUAGUUUUGUCAUCACUGCUAUGGUAUAAGCGUCUCAAAUUAAACUCUUCUGUGAUAGGGAAAAUAAGUUAAUCCAAAUCAUUUAGCCUCUGAAAAUAUCAAAUUCUAUGAAUGUUGAUUAUAUAUUUUAGUUAUA